Molecule: non-coding RNA, 75 nt
Organism: Streptomyces sparsogenes DSM 40356
Lineage: Bacteria; Bacillati; Actinomycetota; Actinomycetes; Kitasatosporales; Streptomycetaceae
Rfam family: ASpks TB sRNA
Source: Rfam
CUUGAUCGAGCCGAGCCACAGCGGGCGGUCCGCCGGGCGGUCCGCCCCAUAGGUGGCGAUCAGCGCCUCCGCCUC